AUCUUGGUGGUGUAGCACAUGUGAGAUGUGAGCCACAUUUGCUACGGCCACCAAGAUCU
This 59-nucleotide microRNA precursor is filed under the name Branchiostoma floridae (Florida lancelet). RNAcentral's name for it is "Bfl-Mir-4057_pre stem-loop". Lineage: Eukaryota; Metazoa; Chordata; Leptocardii; Amphioxiformes; Branchiostomatidae. The record is from RNAcentral.